RNAcentral lists this ribosomal RNA (540 nucleotides) under Mycolicibacterium tokaiense. Its description in RNAcentral is "bacterial SSU rRNA". It matches the Rfam family "Bacterial small subunit ribosomal RNA", at positions 44 to 601 of the family's 1533-position model. The record is from RNAcentral. Lineage: Bacteria; Bacillati; Actinomycetota; Actinomycetes; Mycobacteriales; Mycobacteriaceae.
GUGCUUAACACAUGCAAGUCGAACGGAAAGGCCCUUCGGGGUGCUCGAGUGGCGAACGGGUGAGUAACACGUGGGUGAUCUGCCCUGCACUUUGGGAUAAGCCUGGGAAACUGGGUCUAAUACCGAAUAGGACCACGGCAUUCAUGUGCUGUGGUGGAAAGCUUUUGCGGUGUGGGAUGGGCCCGCGGCCUAUCAGCUUGUUGGUGGGGUAAUGGCCUACCAAGGCGACGACGGGUAGCCGGCCUGAGAGGGUGACCGGCCACACUGGGACUGAGAUACGGCCCAGACUCCUACGGGAGGCAGCAGUGGGGAAUAUUGCACAAUGGGCGCAAGCCUGAUGCAGCGACGCCGCGUGAGGGAUGACGGCCUUCGGGUUGUAAACCUCUUUCAGUACCGACGAAGCGCGAGUGACGGUAGGUACAGAAGAAGGACCGGCCAACUACGUGCCAGCAGCCGCGGUAAUACGUAGGGUCCGAGCGUUGUCCGGAAUUACUGGGCGUAAAGAGCUCGUAGGUGGUUUGUCGCGUUGUUCGUGAAAUC